CCGCACAAGCGGUGGAGCAGUGUGGUUUAAUUCGAAGCAACGCGAAGAACCUUACCAGGUCUUGACAUCCCGAUGCUAUUUCUAGAGAUAGAAAGUUACUUCGGUACAUCGGUGACAGGUGGUGCAUGGUUGUCGUCAGCUCGUGUCGUGAGAUGUUGGGUUAAGUCCCGCAACGAGCGCAACCCCUAUUGUUAGUUGCCAUCAUUCAGUUGGGCACUCUAGCGAGACUGCCGGUAAUAAACCGGAGGAAGGUGGGGAUGACGUCAAAUCAUCAUGCCCCUUAUGACCUGGGCUACACACGUGCUACAAUGGUUGGUACAACGAGUUGCGAGUCGGUGACGGCGAGCUAAUCUCUUAAAGCCAAUCUCAGUUCGGAUUGUAGGCUGCAACUCGCCUACAUGAAGUCGGAAUCGCUAGUAAUCGCGGAUCAGCACGCCGCGGUGAAUACGUUCCCGGGCCUU
This 461-nucleotide ribosomal RNA is filed under the name uncultured Streptococcus sp. Its description in RNAcentral is "bacterial SSU rRNA". It matches the Rfam family "Bacterial small subunit ribosomal RNA", at positions 921 to 1382 of the family's 1533-position model. Lineage: Bacteria; Bacillati; Bacillota; Bacilli; Lactobacillales; Streptococcaceae. The record is from RNAcentral.